Molecule: ribosomal RNA, 460 nt
Filed under: uncultured bacterium
Lineage: Bacteria
Description: partial 16S ribosomal RNA
Rfam family: Bacterial small subunit ribosomal RNA
Source: RNAcentral
CCUACGGGUGGCAGCAGUGAGGAAUAUUGGUCAAUGGACGAGAGUCUGAACCAGCCAAGUAGCGUGAAGGAUGACUGCCCUAUGGGUUGUAAACUUCUUUUAUAUGGGAAUAAAAUGUUCCACGUGUGGGAUUUUGUAUGUACCAUAUGAAUAAGGAUCGGCUAACUCCGUGCCAGCAGCUGCGGUAAUACGGAGGAUCCGAGCGUUAUCCGGUUUUAUUGGGUUUAAAGGGAGCGUAGGUGGAUUGUUAAGUCAGUUGUGAAAGUUUGCGGCUCAACCGUAAAAUUGCAGUUGAAACUGGCAGUCUUGAGUACAGUAGAGGUUGGCGGAAUUCGUGGUGUAGCGGUGAAAUGCUUAGAUAUCACGAAGAACUCCGAUUGCGAAGGCAGUUCACUGGACUGCAACUGACACUGAGGCUCGAAAGUGUGGGUAUCAAACAGGAUUAGAUACCCGGGUAGUC